This 387-nucleotide ribosomal RNA is filed under the name Saccharomyces sp. Its description in RNAcentral is "partial small subunit ribosomal RNA". It matches the Rfam family "Eukaryotic small subunit ribosomal RNA", at positions 582 to 975 of the family's 1831-position model. Lineage: Eukaryota; Fungi; Ascomycota; Saccharomycetes; Saccharomycetales; Saccharomycetaceae. The record is from RNAcentral.
AUUCCAGCUCCAAUAGCGUAUAUUAAAGUUGUUGCAGUUAAAAAGCUCGUAGUUGAACUUUGGGCCCGGUUGGCCGGUCCGAUUUUUUCGUGUACUGGAUUUCCAACGGGGCCUUACCUUCUGGCUAACCUUGAGUCCUUGUGGCUCUUGGCGAACCGGGACUUUUACUUUGAAAAAAUUAGAGCGUUCAAAGCAGGCGUAUUGCUCGAAUAUAUUAGCAUGGAAUAAUAGAAUAGGACGUUUGGUUCUAUUUUGUUGGUUUCUAGGGCCAUCGUAAUGAUUAAUAGGGACGGUCGGGGGCAUCAGUAUUCAAUUGUCAGAGGUGAAAUUCUUGGAUUUAUUGAAGACUAACUACUGCGAAAGCAUUUGCCAAGGACGUUUUCAUUA